CAGUCGCCACGGUAAUACGGAGGGUGCAAGCGUUAAUCGGAAUUACUGGGCGUAAAGCGCACGCAGGCGGUCUGUCAAGUCAGAUGUGAAAUCCCCGGGCUUAACCUGGGAACUGCAUUUGAAACUGGCAGGCUAGAGUCUUGUAGAGGGGGGUAGAAUUCCAGGUGUAGCGGUGAAAUGCGUAGAGAUCUGGAGGAACAUCAGUGGCGAAGGCGGCCAUCUGGGACAACACUGACGCUGAGGCACGAAAGCGUGGGGAGCAAGCAGGAUUAGAUACCCCUGUAGUCCCUGUCUCUUAUAC
RNAcentral lists this ribosomal RNA (301 nucleotides) under uncultured bacterium. RNAcentral describes it as "partial 16S ribosomal RNA". It matches the Rfam family "Bacterial small subunit ribosomal RNA", at positions 509 to 807 of the family's 1533-position model. The record is from RNAcentral.